AGAGCGAACGCUGGCGGCAGGCCUAACACAUGCAAGUCGAGCGCGUGUAGCAAUACACGAGCGGCAGACGGGAGAGUAACACGUGGGAACGCGCCCUUCGGUUCGGAAUAACUCAGGGAAACUUGAGCUAAUACCGGAUACGCCCUUACGGGGAAAGAUUUAUUGCCGAAGGAACGGCCCGCGUCCGAUUAGCUAGUUGGUGAGGUAACGGCUCACCAAGGCGACGAUCGGUAGCUGGUCUGAGAGGAUGACCAGCCUCACUGGGACUGAGACACGGUCCAGACUCCUACGGGAGGCAGCAGUGGGGAAUCUUGCACAAUGGGCGGAAGCCUGAUGCAGCGACGCCGCGUGGGGGAUGAAGCUUUUCGGAGUGUAAACCCCUUUCGACCCGGACGAAUGCCCCGCAAGGGGACUGACGGUACGGGUAUAAGAAGCCCCGGCUAACUACGUGCCAGCAGCCGC
This 462-nucleotide ribosomal RNA is filed under the name uncultured bacterium. Its description in RNAcentral is "SSU rRNA". It matches the Rfam family "Bacterial small subunit ribosomal RNA", at positions 26 to 518 of the family's 1533-position model. The record is from RNAcentral.